UGAAAUUCAAUUUCCAAUGAGCAUUACAAAAAUUGAAUGAUGGCAACUAUACUACAUUGACGGAAUUAAUCUCAUUGUUUGUGACUUCAGCAAAAUUCCUAAGGACUUGAGCAGCAUAUGGGCUGUUUGCAAAAGACUUAUAUAUCUUCAUAGAGUGCUGCUAGGUAUCUAGAAAGCCGAGAGAAACGGCAUACAAUAAUGCCGUUUCUUCAGCGUUUUGCUCUCAAUAAAAAAAAAACAAAACAAAAGCAUUUUAAAAUCUGCCGGUAUUAAAAAAAAAAAAAAACAGUGCCAUUUUUCCUCUCACUCCAGCAGCAGCUUCGUCUCCGUCUCCCCAGCUUCGUGCCCGUCUCCCCUCUCCCUCGCUCGCUACUACUCCAGAUCUACUCGGUGGUCGCUACUCGCUGCUCGGUGGUGUUGCUUGCUGGUCCUCGUCUCCCUCGUCUCUCUCCAUCUCCCUCUCUAUGUUUGGUAGGUAGUUAUUUUUUGAUAAUUAUUUUUUGUUGAGUGAUUUUUUUUUAUCAGUUACGAAGCAAGCCCACAUUCUGAACAAGCAAUUCUUGAAUCUGCUGGUGAUUGAUGGUAGGUGGGAGAAGGGCAGGUCCCUUUCUGUGUCUAGCAAGCAAUCCUUUAGUAACAGGUGACAUCAUUGAAUCAGUUGGGCUCCUGUACCUUUCACUUUCAGGGUACUUGAAUGCUUUAGGCACUUUAAUCCGAUUUGGGGUGUUAGUUUUCCUCGAUUCUUGAGGCUGAGGAUGCGUUUUUGUUUUGUACUCCUCCAUUGCCAUAAUAAGCUUGCAGCUGCUGCGUGAUGAUUCAGGUUCAGGCGCGGGACAACUCUUCUUCAAUGCAAGCGUUUCAAUAGCGUUCUCCAUUGUUAAUUCCCUUGUUUAUGUUUAAUUAAAGAGAAAUAUUGGAAGGAAGAAGAAGCGGAUACACAGACAGAGCACUAGCAGGCUAGCACCUGUUGAGUGAUUGUUUUGUUGGGAAUUAUUUUGGUAAUUGUAUUGUUGAUAAUUAAUUUUUUAUAAUUGUUGGUAAUUUGUUGAGUCAUUAUUUUGUUAAUUGUAUCGUUGAUAAUUAUUUUUUGAUAAUUAUUUUAAUAAUUAAAUUAUGAUAAUUUUUGAUAAUUUUGUUUGGUAAUUAUUUUGUUGGGAAUUAUUUUUUUUGGUAAUAAUUUUUUAUUUUUUGUGGCAAUUAAAGUAGUUUAAUAUUGAUAAUGUAGCACAAAUCAAAGUCGAAAUUCACUUCAAAAUAUACAAUGAAUGUGGUGGUCAAAUGAAGUUGUUAACAUCAAAUCUAAAUCACAACGCAAUUUUGAGAUAUAUACAGCGCAAUUGAUGGAAUCUCAACUAUAGUUUCUUCUCUCAUAUCAUAUACUAAGGAAAAAGAUUUUUUGGAUGAUUGUCAACUCUCAAUGUUUAUUUUCUUGUCUUAGCCGAAAAGAAUGGAUGCACAUUCCAAACUUGCUGAUAGAGAGGCAUUAGGCUGUUAGUUGCUUCUGCUACCAAGGUUCGAAUGUUUAUUGAUUCAUUUGCCAAAGAAUUAUAUAUAUUAUAGGCUGCAAUUACUUCUGUUAAUGCUGAAUUUAUUAAGAUCAAUUUGUUAUUAAUUACUUGCGUUAUGAAUGAGCAAAUACUCCUGCCCUAAUGCCGUUUUCUAUGCUUGUGAAACGAGAGAAACAUCCCAACUCAAUCCUUUCACGUGAGGAGUAGUGCUUUUCAGCUGGAAUCAAACGUGGGGGAGAAUUAAAAAUGUGGAAAAAGCAAAAGGAGCAAAAGUUCACGUGUUGGUGUGGGGGGGGGGCCCAGAGAAACGGCAUUACUGUAUGUCGUUUCUCUCGGCAUUCUCUCGGCAUUCUCGCUGAGAAGCAUUUUCCAUCUUCAUAUCAUCAGCCAUAUAUGUGUCUUGUAUGCAUAUAUUAUAAAGGAAUUAAUGGGUAGCUAUAUUUCACAAAAAGUCGAUGACCAUGUGUAUGUGAUGUAUUGGCAACUCUUGCACGGCUCUAUUAUGUUCACCAAAAAGUGGUGGUGGCG
Molecule: long non-coding RNA, 2036 nt
Filed under: Citrus x clementina
Lineage: Eukaryota; Viridiplantae; Streptophyta; Magnoliopsida; Sapindales; Rutaceae
Description: Citrus clementina (C. clementina) long non-coding RNA (CCLE_LNC003019)
Source: RNAcentral